Molecule: ribosomal RNA, 967 nt
Filed under: Lactiplantibacillus plantarum
Lineage: Bacteria; Bacillati; Bacillota; Bacilli; Lactobacillales; Lactobacillaceae
Description: bacterial SSU rRNA
Rfam family: Bacterial small subunit ribosomal RNA
Source: RNAcentral
AGCCAGGCUAACUCGUGCCAGCAGCGCGGUAUACGUAGGGGCAAGCGUGUCCGGAUUUAUGGGCGUAAAGCGAGCGCAGGCGGUUUUUUAAGUCUGAUGUGAAAGCCUUCGGCUCAACCGAAGAAGUGCAUCGGAAACUGGGAAACUUGAGUGCAGAAGAGGACAGUGGAACUCCAUGUGUAGCGGUGAAAUGCGUAGAUAUAUGGAAGAACACCAGUGGCGAAGGCGGCUGUCUGGUCUGUAACUGACGCUGAGGCUCGAAAGUAUGGGUAGCAAACAGGAUUAGAUACCCUGGUAGUCCAUACCGUAAACGAUGAAUGCUAAGUGUUGGAGGGUUUCCGCCCUUCAGUGCUGCAGCUAACGCAUUAAGCAUUCCGCCUGGGGAGUACGGCCGCAAGGCUGAAACUCAAAGGAAUUGACGGGGGCCCGCACAAGCGGUGGAGCAUGUGGUUUAAUUCGAAGCUACGCGAAGAACCUUACCAGGUCUUGACAUACUAUGCAAAUCUAAGAGAUUAGACGUUCCCUUCGGGGACAUGGAUACAGGUGGUGCAUGGUUGUCGUCAGCUCGUGUCGUGAGAUGUUGGGUUAAGUCCCGCAACGAGCGCAACCCUUAUUAUCAGUUGCCAGCAUUAAGUUGGGCACUCUGGUGAGACUGCCGGUGACAAACCGGAGGAAGGUGGGGAUGACGUCAAAUCAUCAUGCCCCUUAUGACCUGGGCUACACACGUGCUACAAUGGAUGGUACAACGAGUUGCGAACUCGCGAGAGUAAGCUAAUCUCUUAAAGCCAUUCUCAGUUCGGAUUGUAGGCUGCAACUCGCCUACAUGAAGUCGGAAUCGCUAGUAAUCGCGGAUCAGCAUGCCGCGGUGAAUACGUUCCCGGGCCUUGUACACACCGCCCGUCACACCAUGAGAGUUUGUAACACCCAAAGUCGGUGGGGUAACCUUUUAGAACAGCCGCCAAGUAAG